CCUACGGGAGGCAGCAGUGAGGAAUAUUGGUCAAUGGCCGGAAGGCUGAACCAGCCAUGCCGCGUGAAGGUCAGUGCCCUAUGGGCGUUAAACUUCUUUUGUGCGGGAGCAAUAAUGGUCACGUGUGGCCAGACGAGAGUACCGUACGAAUAAGCAUCGGCUAACUCCGUGGCAGCAGCCGCGGUAAUACGGGGGAUGCAAGCGUUUUCCGGGUUUAUUGGGUUUAAAGGGUGCGUAGGCUGUGAGGUAAGUCAGCGGUGAAAUGCCCCCGCUCAACGGGGUGAAGUGCCAUUGAUACUGCCUUGCUUGAAUGCGGAUGCCGUGAGAGGAAUGUGUGGUGUAGCGGUGAAAUGCAUAGAUAUCACACAGAACACCGAUUGCGAAGGCAUCUCACGAAUCCGCGAUUGACGCUGAUGCACGAAAGCGUGGGUAUCAAACAGGAUUAGAUACCCCAGUAGUC
Molecule: ribosomal RNA, 460 nt
Filed under: uncultured bacterium
Lineage: Bacteria
Description: partial 16S ribosomal RNA
Rfam family: Bacterial small subunit ribosomal RNA
Source: RNAcentral